GACGAACGCUGGCGGCGUGCUUAACACAUGCAAGUCGAACGGAAAGGCCCUGCUUUUGUGUGGUGCUCGAGUGGCUAACGGGUGAGUAACACGUGAGUAACCUGCCCUUGACUUUGUGAUAACUUCAGGAAACUGGGGCUAAUACCGGAUAGGAGCUCCUGCUGCAUGGUGGGUGUUGGAAAGUUUCGGCGGUUGGGGAUGGACUCGCGGCUUAUCAGCUUGUUGGUGGGGUAGUGGCUUACCGAGGCUUUGACGGGUAGCCGGCCUGAGAGGGUGACCGGCCACAUUGGGACUGAGAUACGGACCAGACUCCUACGGGAGGCAGCAGUGGGGAAUAUUGCAAAAUGGGCGGAAGCAUGAUGCAGCAACGCCGCGUGCGGGAUGACGGCCUUCGGGUUGUAAACCGCUUUCGCCUGUGACGAAGCGUGAGUGACGGUAAUGGGUAAAGAAGCACCGGCUAACUACGUG
This 468-nucleotide ribosomal RNA is filed under the name uncultured bacterium. RNAcentral's name for it is "partial 16S ribosomal RNA". It matches the Rfam family "Bacterial small subunit ribosomal RNA", at positions 28 to 507 of the family's 1533-position model. The record is from RNAcentral.